RNAcentral lists this ribosomal RNA (253 nucleotides) under uncultured bacterium. RNAcentral describes it as "partial 16S ribosomal RNA". It matches the Rfam family "Bacterial small subunit ribosomal RNA", at positions 524 to 776 of the family's 1533-position model. The record is from RNAcentral.
UACAGAGGUCUCAAGCGUUGUUCGGAUUCAUUGGGCGUAAAGGGUGCGUAGGCGGCGCGGUAAGUCGGGUGUGAAAUCUUGGAGCUUAACUCCGAAACUGCAUUCGAUACUGCCGUGCUUGAGGACUGGAGAGGAGACUGGAAUUUACGGUGUAGCGGUGAAAUGCGUAGAUAUCGGGAGGAACACCUAUGGCGAAGGCAGCUCGCUGGGACGUUACUGACGCUGAGACGCGAAAGCGUGGGGAGCAAACAGG